RNAcentral lists this ribosomal RNA (405 nucleotides) under uncultured bacterium. Its description in RNAcentral is "partial 16S ribosomal RNA". It matches the Rfam family "Bacterial small subunit ribosomal RNA", at positions 28 to 526 of the family's 1533-position model. The record is from RNAcentral.
GUUGAACGCUGGCGGCGUGCCUAAUACAUGCAAGUCGAGCGAAGCGGGGACGGGUGAUUAACACGUGGCUAACCACCUAUAAGACUGGGAUCACUUCGGGAGACCGGAGCUACACAGGCUCCUUAUUGCUGGAUCCGCGCUGCAUGAGUUAAUUGGUAAGGUAACGGCUGACCAAGGCAACGAUGCAUAGCGGACCUGAGAGGUGGAUCGGCCACACUGGAACUGAGACACGGUCCAGACUCCUACGGGAGGCAGCAGUAGGGAAUCAUGCGCAAUGGGCGAAAGCCUGAUGGAGCAACGCCGCGUGAGUGAAGAAGGUCUUCGGAUCGUAAAGCUCUUUUAUUAGGGAGGCGUUACCUAAACAGAAAGCCACGGCUAACUACGUGCCAGCAGCCGCGGUAAUUC